This 405-nucleotide ribosomal RNA is filed under the name uncultured bacterium. RNAcentral describes it as "bacterial SSU rRNA". It matches the Rfam family "Bacterial small subunit ribosomal RNA", at positions 356 to 773 of the family's 1533-position model. The record is from RNAcentral.
GGGGAAUAUUGCACAAUGGGCGCAAGCCUGAUGCAGCGACGCCGCGUGAGGGAUGACGGCCUUCGGGUUGUAAACCUCUUUCACCCAUGACGAAGCGUAAGUGACGGUAGUGGGAGAAGAAGCGCCGGCCAACUACGUGCCAGCAGCCGCGGUAAGACGUAGGGCGCGAGCGUUGUCCGGAUUUAUUGGGCGUAAAGAGCUCGUAGGCGGCUUGUUGCGUCGGCUGUGAAAACCCAUGGCUCAACCGCGGGCUUGCAGCCGAUACGGGCAGGCUGGAGUUCGGUAGGGGAGACUGGAAUUCCUGGUGUAGCGGUGUAAUGCGCAGAUAUCAGGAGGAACACCGGUGGCGAAGGCGGGUCUCUGGGCCGAUACUGACGCUGAGGAGCGAAAGCGUGGGGAGCGAAC